AGGACGAACGCUGGCGGCGUGCUUAACACAUGCAAGUCACGGGGGCCCGUAGCAAUACGGGCAACCGGCGAACGGGUGCGUAACACGUGAGCAAUCUGCCGAUCUCUGGGGGAUAGCCAGCCUAAACGGCUGGGUAAUACCGCAUACGCUCGUUGGGGGGAGUCCCCUGAUGAGGAAACCUCUGGGGGAGAUCGAGGAGCUCGCGACCUAUCAGCUAGUUGGCGGGGUAACGGCCCACCAAGGGCAGCGACGGGUAGCUGGU
Molecule: ribosomal RNA, 262 nt
Filed under: uncultured bacterium
Lineage: Bacteria
Description: partial small subunit ribosomal RNA
Rfam family: Bacterial small subunit ribosomal RNA
Source: RNAcentral